This 448-nucleotide ribosomal RNA is filed under the name uncultured bacterium. RNAcentral's name for it is "bacterial SSU rRNA". It matches the Rfam family "Bacterial small subunit ribosomal RNA", at positions 330 to 794 of the family's 1533-position model. The record is from RNAcentral.
GCCAGACUCCUACGGGAGGCAGCAGUGGGGGAUAUUGCACAAUGGGGGAAACCCUGAUGCAGCGACGCCGCGUGAGUGAAGAAGUAUUUCGGUAUGUAAAGCUCUAUCAGCAGGGAAGAAAAAAGACGGUACCUGACUAAGAAGCCCCGGCUAACUACGUGCCAGCAGCCGCGGUAAUACGUAGGGGGCAAGCGUUAUCCGGAUUUACUGGGUGUAAAGGGAGCGUAGACGGCAAUACAAGUCGGAAGUGAAAUACCCGGGCUCAACCGGGGAACUGCUUUGGAAACUGUAUGGCUGGAGUGCUGGAGAGGUAAGCGGAAUUCCUAGUGUAGCGGUGAAAUGCGUAGAUAUUAGGAGGAACACCAGUGGCGAAGGCGACUUACUGGACUGUAACUGACGUUGAGGCACGAAAGUGUGGGGAGCAAACAGGAUUAGAUACCCUAGUAAA